This 26-nucleotide non-coding RNA is filed under the name Mus musculus (house mouse). The record is from RNAcentral. Lineage: Eukaryota; Metazoa; Chordata; Mammalia; Rodentia; Muridae.
UACAACAACUGCCUGGAGAUACUCCG